Molecule: ribosomal RNA, 126 nt
Filed under: uncultured bacterium
Lineage: Bacteria
Description: partial 16S ribosomal RNA
Rfam family: Bacterial small subunit ribosomal RNA
Source: RNAcentral
GGAGGAAGAAGGAUCUAUGGUUCGUAAACUUCUUUUGCAGGGGAAUAAAGUGCAGGACGUGUCCUGUUUUGUAUGUACCCUGAAGAAUAAGGAUCGGCUAACUCCNGUGCCAGCAGCCGCGGUAAU